Molecule: ribosomal RNA, 1343 nt
Filed under: uncultured bacterium
Lineage: Bacteria
Description: 16S ribosomal RNA
Rfam family: Bacterial small subunit ribosomal RNA
Source: RNAcentral
GACGAACGCUGGCGGCGUGCUUAACACAUGCAAGUCGAACGGAAAGGCCCUGCUUUUGUGGGGUGCUCGAGUGGCGAACGGGUGAGUAACACGUGAGUAACCUGCCCUUGACUUUGGGAUAACUUCAGGAAACUGGGGCUAAUACCGGAUAGGAGCUCCUGCUGCAUGGUGGGGGUUGGAAAGUUUCGGCGGUUGGGGAUGGACUCGCGGCUUAUCAGCUUGUUGGUGGGGUAGUGGCUUAUCAAGGCUUUGACGGGUAGCCGGCCUGAGAGGGUGACCGGCCACAUUGGGACUGAGAUACGGCCCAGACUCCUACGGGAGGCAGCAGUGGGGAAUAUUGCACAAUGGGCGGAAGCCUGAUGCAGCAACGCCGCGUGCGGGAUGACGGCCUUCGGGUUGUAAACCGCUUUCGCCUGUGACGAAGCGUGAGUGACGGUAAUGGGUAAAGAAGCACCGGCUAACUACGUGCCAGCAGCCGCGGUGAUACGUAGGGUGCGAGCGUUGUCCGGAUUUAUUGGGCGUAAAGGGCUCGUAGGUGGUUGAUCGCGUCGGAAGUGUAAUCUUGGGGCUUAACCCUGAGCGUGCUUUCGAUACGGGUUGACUUGAGGAAGGUAGGGGAGAAUGGAAUUCCUGGUGGAGCGGUGGAAUGCGCAGAUAUCAGGAGGAACACCAGUGGCGAAGGCGGUUCUCUGGGCCUUUCCUGACGCUGAGGAGCGAAAGCGUGGGGAGCGAACAGGCUUAGAUACCCUGGUAGUCCACGCUGUAAACGGUGGGUACUAGGUGUGGGGUCCAUUCCACGGGUUCCGUGCCGUAGCUAACGCUUUAAGUACCCCGCCUGGGGAGUACGGCCGCAAGGCUAAAACUCAAAGGAAUUGACGGGGCCCCGCACAAGCGGCGGAGCAUGCGGAUUAAUUCGAUGCAACGCGUAGAACCUUACCUGGGUUUGACAUGGAUCGGGAGUGCUCAGAGAUGGGUGUGCCUCUUUUGGGGUCGGUUCACAGGUGGUGCAUGCCUGUCGUCAGCUCGUGUCGUGAGAUGUUGGGUUAAGUCCCGCAACGAGCGCAACCCUUGUUCACUGUUGCCAGCACGUUAUGGUGGGGACUCAGUGGAGACCGCCGGGGUCAACUCGGAGGAAGGUGGGGAUGACGUCAAGUCCUCAUGCCCCUUAUGUCCAGGGCUUCACGCAUGCUACAAUGGCUGGUACAGAGAGUGGCGAGCCUGUGAGGGUGAGCGAAUCUCGGAAAGCCGGUCUCAGUUCGGAUUGGGGUCUGCAACUCGACCCCAUGAAGUCGGAGUCGCUAGUAAUCGCAGAUCAGCAACGCUGCGGUGAAUACGUUCCCGGG